AACGGAUGGGGCUAGUGUUAUUCAUCGUUAUUGGGCGUAAAGGGCAUGUAGGUUGUUUGUUAUUCUUUUCAUUGAAAAGAUAGAGCCCAACUCUAUUUAACUUUGAUUUGCUACAAACUUGAGUUUAGGAGGAAGUAACAGUAUUUUUCGGGUAAAGGUGAAAUUUUUCGAUUCGAAAAAGACUAUCAAUAGGCGAAAGCAGUUAUUUAGACUAAUACUGACACUGAGGUGCGAAAGCGUAGGGAGCAAACAGG
Molecule: ribosomal RNA, 254 nt
Filed under: uncultured bacterium
Lineage: Bacteria
Description: partial 16S ribosomal RNA
Rfam family: Bacterial small subunit ribosomal RNA
Source: RNAcentral